AAGGACAGGACAGGGCCCCCUCUGAGGCCAUCACAGUUAGUCGCAGACUAUAGCGUCUUGGAGUAAGACUCUGUGGAAGAACCUUAAACUGGCUUUAAAAAUCUUGAGAGCAAUUAAAGACUGGUGGAGGACCAGAAACAAACAAAACUGAUGAAUUCAGUGACUUGCUGUCUGGAAUUAUAGAGCACCAACAACCUCUGGGUGGUAUACCAGAUGAUGACCUCAGCACAAAUGGAGCAUAACUGUUUGGCUGAGCUACAAGUUCAGUGCACUCCUUGCGUGGACCUGUCUGAGACUCCUCUUGAGAAUCCCGACUUGAUUCUGUAUGUGGAUGGCUCUGCUUCUAGAGACCCAGCCACAGGAACUAAUCGUGUUGGGUCAGGCCAACUCUCUCAUCACCUCUCAGCACAGGCAGCAGAGCUUAUUGCACUCACAGAGGCCUGCAAAUUGGCAACAGAUACGUCUGUAAACAUUUACACAGACUCAAGAUAUGCAUUUGGUGUUGUACAUGACUUUGGAGCGAUAUGGAAACAUAGACUGCAUCACGGAAAAACAUUUAGCAUCACAAACUUAUUGAUGCCUUGUUAUCUGCAAUUCUGCUCCCCAAGGCCAUCUCUGUGUGUAAAUGUGCAGCACACACACGAGCCGGUGACCAUGUAUCUCAGGGGAAUGCCAGAGCGGAUGCAACGGUUAAAGCUGCUGCCUCACGCUCAUUGCCACAGCAACAGAAAGCUGAACACACACUGACAACAAGCCCUGCCUGCCUAAACAUUUAUUUUCGACCUAUGUUAAAUUGGCACAUGGGGUUGAUCAUGUGUCAAAAGGGGGGAAUGCUUAGUGACAUGGGGCCUUUUGAAGUCCUGUUUGCAGUCCCUCCUGACAUUGGUGUGAGACCUCCAACCUCUUCCACUCCCUCCACUACUCUCUGUGAACAUGACAUGCUAACCUAUUGUAUCAAACUGUCUUCCACUCUCUCCUCCAUCAGAAAACAGGUUGAAGCAGCCCUACCCCAACCGGCCACACACCCACUACACAAGUUACAGCCUGUUGACUAUUGUUAAAUAUAUCAUGAAAUAAAUACGGUGAAUUAUUAAGCCUGGCUGUGGCUAUGUUAAGUGUGGGAACAUGAAUUUAUCACCAAACUCAGUAUUACUAGCUUAAUCUUAGAUGUACACUGCACUUUUAUACUUUGAUUUAUGUACUGUACACAUCACUAUGUAAGUUGUGGUACUUUUAUAUCUUGCUCCAUGUAACAUACACAUUAGUAUGCAUGUAUGUAUGUAUGUAUGUAUGUAUGUAUGUAUGUAUGUAUGUAUGUAUGUAUAUUGUUGUACUUUUAUACCUUGAUUAAAGUACCAUACGCAUUACUA
Long non-coding RNA from Cottoperca gobio, 1370 nucleotides. RefSeq lists it as uncharacterized. The record is from RefSeq and is a predicted model, not a curated record. The transcript is spliced from 3 exons. NCBI's taxonomy places the organism in Eukaryota, Metazoa, Chordata, Actinopteri, Perciformes, Bovichtidae.